RNAcentral lists this ribosomal RNA (192 nucleotides) under uncultured bacterium. Its description in RNAcentral is "partial 16S ribosomal RNA". It matches the Rfam family "Bacterial small subunit ribosomal RNA", at positions 1310 to 1500 of the family's 1533-position model. The record is from RNAcentral.
ACCCGACUACAUGAAGCUGGAAUCGCUAGUAAUCGCGAAUCAGAAUGUCGCGGUGAAUACGUUCCCGGGUCUUGUACACACCGCCCGUCACACCAUGGGAGUCGGAAAUGCCCGAAGUCAGUGACCCAACCAAUCCGGAGGGAGCUGCCGAAGGCGGGAUCGGUAACUGGGGUGAAGUCGUAACAAGGUAAC